Molecule: ribosomal RNA, 301 nt
Filed under: uncultured bacterium
Lineage: Bacteria
Description: partial 16S ribosomal RNA
Rfam family: Bacterial small subunit ribosomal RNA
Source: RNAcentral
CAGUCGCCGCGGUAAUACAGAGGGUGCAAGCGUUAAUCGGAUUUACUGGGCGUAAAGCGUGCGUAGGUGGCUGUUUAAGUCGGAUGUGAAAGCCCUGGGCUUAACCUGGGAACUGCAUUCGAUACUGGAUAGCUAGAGAUCGGUAGAGGGCAGCGGAAUUCCGGGUGUAGCGGUGAAAUGCGUAGAUAUCCGGAGGAACACCGAUGGCGAAGGCGGCCCCCUGGACAAAGACUGACGCUCAGGUGCGAAAGCGUGGGGAGCAAACAGGAUUAGAUACCCCAGUAGUCCCUGUCUCUUAUAC